GACGAACGCUGGCGGCGUGCUUAACACAUGCAAGUCGAACGCUGAACCCGCUUCGGUGGGGGAUGAGUGGCGAACGGGUGAGUAACACGUGGGCAACCUGCCCCCGGCUCUGGGAUAACUCCAAGAAAUUGGGGCUAAUACCGGAUGUGACCGCUGGCCGCAUGGUCUGGUGGUGGAAAGGGUUUCCGGCUGGGGAUGGGCCCGCGGCCUAUCAGCUUGUUGGUGGGGUAGUGGCCUACCAAGGCGACGACGGGUAGCCGGCCCGAGAGGGUGACCGGCCACACUGGGACUGAGACACGGCCCAGACUCCUACGGGAGGCAGCAGUGGGGAAUAUUGCGCAAUGGGCGGAAGCCUGACGCAGCGACGCCGCGUGGGGGAUGACGGCCUUCGGGUUGUAAACCUCUUUCAGCAGGGACGAAGCGCAAGUGACGGUACCUGCAGAAGAAGCACCGGCCAACUACGUG
RNAcentral lists this ribosomal RNA (465 nucleotides) under uncultured bacterium. Its description in RNAcentral is "partial 16S ribosomal RNA". It matches the Rfam family "Bacterial small subunit ribosomal RNA", at positions 28 to 507 of the family's 1533-position model. The record is from RNAcentral.